RNAcentral lists this ribosomal RNA (253 nucleotides) under uncultured bacterium. RNAcentral's name for it is "partial 16S ribosomal RNA". It matches the Rfam family "Bacterial small subunit ribosomal RNA", at positions 524 to 776 of the family's 1533-position model. The record is from RNAcentral.
UACGUAGGGGGCAAGCGUUGUCCGGAUUUAUUGGGCGUAAAGAGCGUGUAGGCGGCCAGAUAGGUCCGUUGUGAAAACUCGAGGCUCAACCUCGAGACGCCGAUGGAAACCAUUUGGCUAGAGUCCGGAAGAGGAGAGUGGAAUUCCUGGUGUAGCGGUGAAAUGCGCAGAUAUCAGGAGGAACACCCGUGGCUAAGGCGGCUCUCUGGGACGGUACUGACGCUGAGGUGCGAAAGCGUGGGGAGCAAACAGG